RNAcentral lists this long non-coding RNA (2632 nucleotides) under Homo sapiens (human). Its description in RNAcentral is "HSALNT0209724". Lineage: Eukaryota; Metazoa; Chordata; Mammalia; Primates; Hominidae. The record is from RNAcentral.
GACGAAUUGAAAAUUAUAGUUAAAAACGCGUAACACCCUUCUUUCAGCAAUUGGUAGAAAAACUAGACAGAAGAUCUCUAAGGAUAUAGAAGAACUCAAGGACCCUAUCAGCCACUAGGCUCUAACCUACAUUUUUAGAAUACUUUACCCAACAACAGGAGAAUACACAUUUUUGUCAACUGCCCGUGGAUCAUAUACUAAGAUGGACCAUAUCUUGGGCCAUAAAAUGAACCUUAAUACAUCUAAAAGAAUUGAAACUAUAUAGACUGUAUUCUCUGACCCUAUGGAGUCAAACUAGAAAUUGAUAACAAAAUGAUGAUAGGAAAAUCCUCAAACACUUGGAAACUAAACAAUACAAUUCUGAAUAAUCCAUGGGUCAAAGAGGAAGUCUCAGGGAAAUAAAAAAAAUUGAGCUGCUUUGUAAAAAAAAAGUCAAAAUUUGUAUACCACAGCCGUAGUAAUGAUGAGGGGAAAAUUAAUAGCACUAAAUGUAUACAUUAGGAAAGAGAAAAAGCAUCAGAUCAAUUAUCUAACUUUCCACCUAAUGUUAUAAUGGCUGGUUUACUGAAAUAAGUAACAUGGUAUCCACUUGAAAGAAAAUUACAUUUAAAGCCAUUUGAUCCAAGCAAAUUUUAUUAUAGUUAUAGAAAAACAGAUUUCUAAAAUUUAAUGAAAAGGCAGAGGAAGUAGAAUGGUUGAAAUAAUUUUGAAAAAGAAGAAAAAAGUGGGAGGUAUCAGUGUACUUUAUUGCAAGCUUUAUUAUUUAGGUAUAGUAAUCAAGACUGUGUGAUAUUGGGGUGGAGGGGAGAGAGAGUGGAAUAGAGAACACAGAAGUGGAGCCACACAGAUAUGCCCAAUUGAUUUGACAAAGUGCAGAAGCAGUUAACUUCAUUUCAACAAAUGGUUCUGGAACUAGUAGACAUCCACAGGCAAAACAACAACAACAAACAAACAAACCAAACCAAAAAAGAAGAACGAAAAACAAAAACCAAAAAACAAAACCACAAGAAAAAAAACCCACCUCAAUCUGUCUCAUGGACUUAAAUGUAAAACAAUAAAACUUUCAGACAAAAACAUAGAAGAAAAUCUUCUAAAUCUCAGGCUAAGAGUCCUUAGACUUGACACCAAAUGUCUGAUCCAAAGGACAAAUUGAGACAUUGGACUUUACCCAAAUUAAAUUUUUUUGUUCUACAAAAGACCCUGUUAAGACGAUGAAAUGACAAGCUGUGGACUGGGAGGAAAUAUUUGCAAACCACACAUUCAGUAAAGGACUGGUAUCUUGAAUUUAUAAAGAACUCUCAAAACUCUACAGUAGAAAAAUCCAAUUAGAAAAUGGACACCAUUGUGGUGGGUCAUGCCUGUAGUCCCAGCCACUCACAUGGCUGAGGCAGGAGGAUCUCUCGAACCAAAGAGUUUCAGGUUACAGUGAGCUAUGAUCGUGCCACUGCACUCCUACCUGGGUGACAGAGUGAGACCGGGUCCUGAGGAAAAAAAAGAGAAAAAAAUAGGCAAAAGACAUGAACAGAUAUUUUACAAAAGAGGAUAUACAAAUGCCAAAUAAGCACAUGGAAAAAUGUUUAAAAUCAUUCAUCAUUAGGAAAAUGCAAAUUAAAACCACAGUGACAUGUCACUGCACAACUACCAGAAUGUCUAAAAUAAUAAUUAAAAAAAGUGGCAACACCAGAUGCCAGCAAGGAGGCAGAGAUGCUGGAUUACUCAUACGUUGUUGGUAGGAAUAUAAGAUGACAUAGCCACUCUGGAAAACAGUUUGGCAGUUUCUUAAAAAAGUAAGCAUGCUACUACUAUGUGAUCUAACAAUUGCACUCCUGGGCAUUUAUUGCUCAGAAUAGAAAAUUUAUGCUUGCAUGAAAAUCUGAGACAAAUGUUCCUAGUGGCUUUUUUCAUAAUAACCCCUAACUGUCAACAACCCAGAUGUCCUUCAAGGGGUAAAUGGAUAUAUAACUUAGGAAGAAAAGGAAAUGAAGUAUUGAUACCUGCAACAACUUGGAUGAAUCUGCAGAUAAUUAUGCUGAGGCAAUAAAAGCCAAUCUCCAAAAGUUAGAUACUUUAUGAUUACAUUUAUAUAAUGUUCUUUCUUUUCUUUUUUAUUUUUAUUUUUUUGAGAUGGAUUCUUGCUCUGCCGCCCAGGCUGGAAUGCAGUGGUGUGGUUUUGGCUCAUUGCAACCUCUGCCUCCUGGGUUCACGAGGUUUUCCUGCCUCAGCCUCCCAAGUAUCUGGGACUACAGGGACCCACCACCAUGCCCGGCUAAUUUUUAUAUUUUUAGUAGAGAGGGGAUUUCACCAUGUUGGCUAGGCUGGUCUUGAACUCCUGACCUCAGGUGAUCUACCCGCCUUGGCCUCCCAAAGUGCUGGGAUUACAGGCGUGAACCACUGCCCCCGGCCUAUAUAAUAUUCUUCAAAUGACAAAAUUACAGGAAUGGAGAACAAGUUUGUGGUUGCUGGGAGUUAAGGGUGGGGGCGGGGGGGCUGGGAGGGAAGUGUUUGUGGCUUUAAAAGGGCAUUUUGUAUCUUGACUGUAUCACUGUUGAUAUCCUGGUUGUGAUAUUGUAUUAUAGUUUUGCACAAUGGUACCGUUGGCAAAAGCUGGUAAAGAGAUAUCUCUGUAUUUUUC